RNAcentral lists this transfer RNA (101 nucleotides) under Hapsidospora chrysogenum ATCC 11550. RNAcentral's name for it is "Acremonium chrysogenum ATCC 11550 tRNA". It matches the Rfam family "tRNA". Rfam says of the family: Transfer RNA (tRNA) molecules are approximately 80 nucleotides in length. Their secondary structure includes four short double-helical elements and three loops (D, anti-codon, and T loops). Further hydrogen bonds mediate the characteristic L-shaped molecular structure. tRNAs have two regions of fundamental functional importance: the anti-codon, which is responsible for specific mRNA codon recognition, and the 3' end, to which the tRNAs corresponding amino acid is attached (by aminoacyl-tRNA synthetases). tRNAs cope with the degeneracy of the genetic code in two manners: having more than one tRNA (with a specific anti-codon) for a particular amino acid; and 'wobble' base-pairing, i.e. permitting non-standard base-pairing at the 3rd anti-codon position. The record is from Rfam by way of RNAcentral. Lineage: Eukaryota; Fungi; Ascomycota; Sordariomycetes; Hypocreales; Bionectriaceae.
GGUGAGAUGGCCGAGUUGGUUAUGGCGUCAGGUUAAGGCUUACCUUAGCAUUACAUUUCCUGGUGGAGCAAUCCUCCUGGGUUCGAGUCCCAGUCUCAUCA